Molecule: ribosomal RNA, 397 nt
Filed under: uncultured bacterium
Lineage: Bacteria
Description: partial 16S ribosomal RNA
Rfam family: Bacterial small subunit ribosomal RNA
Source: RNAcentral
AUACGAAGGGUGCAAGCGUUACUCGGAAUUACUGGGCGUAAAGCGUGCGUAGGUGGUUGUUUAGGUCUGUCGUGAAAGCCCUGGGCUCGACCUGGGAAUGGCGAUGGAAACUGGGCGACUAGAGUGUGGCAGAGGGUAGUGGAAUUCCUGGUGUAGCAGUGAAAUGCGUAGAGAUCAGGAGGAACAUCCGUGGCGAAGGCGACUGCCUGGGCCAACACUGACACUGAGGCACGAAAGCGUGGGGAGCAAACAGGAUUAGAUACCCUGGUAGUCCACGCCCUAAACGAUGCGAACUGGAUGUUGGGUGCAAUUUGGCACGCAGUAUCGAAGCUAACGCGUUAAGUUCGCCGCCUGGGGAGUACGGUCGCAAGACUGAAACUCAAAUGAAUUGACGGGG